UAAACUGGCAGCCAAUGCUUGCUCGCCAUCACGUAGUGUCGUGUCAAAUAUAAUUACGCGGUCAGACAUCUAUUCU
This 76-nucleotide transfer RNA is filed under the name Shewanella piezotolerans WP3. Its description in RNAcentral is "tRNA-Arg". The record is from RNAcentral. Lineage: Bacteria; Pseudomonadati; Pseudomonadota; Gammaproteobacteria; Alteromonadales; Shewanellaceae.